This 510-nucleotide unclassified non-coding RNA is filed under the name Hevea brasiliensis (rubber tree). Lineage: Eukaryota; Viridiplantae; Streptophyta; Magnoliopsida; Malpighiales; Euphorbiaceae. The record is from RNAcentral.
CAGUAUGAUAUGAAGCUAUUAGCUGUUGACAUUCCCAUGGCAUCGGGACCUGACCAGAGAUUGUUUCUGAUUGGAGAUGAGGAUGAGUAUAAGGUUGGCGGUGGACUAAUAUCUGAGCUGAGAGAUCCUGUUGUGAAAGCUAUGGCAGCCAGUAAGGAAUUUGAUGAUCUUGAUCAAAAUGAGGAAGAGGAGGAUGUGGCAAGAGAACUCCAGGAAGCAGAAAGAAGGCACCGUGAGGAAAUUGAAAAGCUUGAAAGAGAUGGUUCCUAGUGUGUGUUUAUUAAGGAUUUUUCUUAUUCAAACUUUUGCUUCAUUCUUUUCUGUUUUGUUUUGCCCUGGAAUUUUUUGGGUAAAUGCCUAAGGCUUGAUGUAGGAUCAUCUUGCAUCUGUAUCAGAGUUGAGUUUUGCAAGUCUUUUUUCUUUAAACGGCUAAUGAACUCCUACAGAGAUCUCAAAUUUUUAAAGUUGAGAUGUCUAACCAAGGUAAUAAAGUAUACAACUGGGGUACUG